This 306-nucleotide ribosomal RNA is filed under the name uncultured bacterium. RNAcentral's name for it is "partial 16S ribosomal RNA". It matches the Rfam family "Bacterial small subunit ribosomal RNA", at positions 507 to 807 of the family's 1533-position model. The record is from RNAcentral.
GACAGCAGCAGCCGCGGGAAAACGGAGGGUGCAAGCGUUAUCCGGAUUUAUUGGGUUUAAAGGGUCCGUAGGCGGAUCUGUAAGUCAGUGGUGAAAUCUCACAGCUUAACUGUGAAACUGCCAUUGAUACUGCAGGUCUUGAGUAAAUUUGAAGUGGCUGGAAUAAGUAGUGUAGCGGUGAAAUGCAUAGAUAUUACUUAGAACACCAAUUGCGAAGGCAGGUCACUAAGAUUUAACUGACGCUGAUGGACGAAAGCGUGGGGAGCGAACAGGAUUAGAUACCCCUGUAGUCCCUGUCUCUUAUAC